Molecule: ribosomal RNA, 495 nt
Filed under: uncultured bacterium
Lineage: Bacteria
Description: partial 16S ribosomal RNA
Rfam family: Bacterial small subunit ribosomal RNA
Source: RNAcentral
GAUGAACGCUGGCGGCGUGCCUAAUACAUGCAAGUAGAACGCUGAAGGCGGAGCUUGCUCUUCUGGAUGAGUUGCGAACGGGUGAGUAACGCGUAGGUAACCUGCCUGGUAGCGGGGGAUAACUAUUGGAAACGAUAGCUAAUACCGCAUGACAACAGUUAUUGCAUGAUAACUGUUUAAAAGUGGCAACUGCUCCACUACCAGAUGCACCUGCGUUGUAUUAGCUAGUUGGUGGGGUAACGGCUCACCAAGGCGACGAUACAUAGCCGACCUGAGAGGGUGAUCGGCCACACUGGGAGUGAGACACGGCACAGACUGCUACGGGAGGCAGCAGUAGGGAAACGGGGGCAAGGGACGGAAGUCUGAGCGAGCAACGCCGCGGGAGGGAAGAAGGAUGUCGGAUCGUAAAGCUCGGUUGUAAGAGAAGAACGAGUGUGAGAGUGGAAAGUACACACUGUGACGGUAGCUGACCAGAAAGCGACGGCUAACUACGUG